This 219-nucleotide ribosomal RNA is filed under the name Chloropicon mariensis. RNAcentral describes it as "partial Bacterial small subunit ribosomal RNA". It matches the Rfam family "Bacterial small subunit ribosomal RNA", at positions 1211 to 1431 of the family's 1533-position model. Lineage: Eukaryota; Viridiplantae; Chlorophyta; Chloropicophyceae; Chloropicales; Chloropicaceae. The record is from RNAcentral.
GGGCUAUGGACGUGCCACAUAUGUUUGUACAAAAGGAGGCGAAAGUGUGAACUUUAGCUAAUCCUUAAAACAGAAUAUAAAAUGGAUUGUAGUCUGUAACUCGACUGCAUAAAUAAGGAAUUACUAGUAAUCGUGAAUCACCACAUCACGGUGAAUUUAAUCUCAGAUAGGUACUAACCACUCGUCAGGCGCUGAAAGGAGUAUGCGCAAUAAGUUUGG